GCAGUCGAACGAACUCUGGUAUUGAUUGGUGCUUGCAUCAUGAUUUACAUUUGAGUGAGUGGCGAACUGGUGAGUAACACGUGGGAAACCUGCCCAGAAGCGGGGGAUAACACCUGGAAACAGAUGCUAAUACCGCAUAAUAACUUGGACCGCAUGGUCCGAGCUUGAAAGAUGGCUUCGGCUAUCACUUUUGGAUGGUCCCGCGGCGUAUUAGCUAGAUGGUGGGGUAACGGCUCACCAUGGCAAUGAUACGUAGCCGACCUGAGAGGGUAAUCGGCCACAUUGGGACUGAGACACGGCCCAAACUCCUACGGGAGGCAGCAGUAGGGAAUCUUCCACAAUGGACGAAAGUCUGAUGGAGCAACGCCGCGUGAGUGAAGAAGGGUUUCGGCUCGUAAAACUCUGUUGUUAAAGAAGAACAUAUCUGAGAGUAACUGUUCAGGUAUUGACGGUAUUUAACCAGAAAGCCACGGCUAACUACGUGCCAGCAGCCGCGGUAAUACGUAGGUGGCAAGCGUUGUCCGGAUUUAUUGGGCGUAAAGCGAGCGCAGGCGGUUUUCUAAGUCUGAUGUGAAAGCCUUCGGCUCAACCGAAGAAGUGCAUCGGAAACUGGGAAACUUGAGUGCAGAAGAGGACAGUGGAACUCCAUGUGUAGCGGUGAAAUGCGUAGAUAUAUGGAAGAACACCAGUGGCGAAGGCGGCUGUCUGGUCUGUAACUGACGCUGAGGCUCGAAAGUAUGGGUAGCAAACAGGAUUAGAUACCCUGGUAGUCCAUACCGUAAACGAUGAAUGCUAAGUGUUGGAGGGUUUCCGCCCUUCAGUGCUGCAGCUAACGCAUUAAGCAUUCCGCCUGGGGAGUACGGCCGCAAGGCUGAAACUCAAAGGAAUUGACGGG
Molecule: ribosomal RNA, 895 nt
Filed under: uncultured bacterium
Lineage: Bacteria
Description: bacterial SSU rRNA
Rfam family: Bacterial small subunit ribosomal RNA
Source: RNAcentral